UUAAGCGACUAAGCGUACACGGUGGAUGCCCUGGCAGUCAGAGGCGAUGAAGGACGUGCUAAUCUGCGAAAAGCGUCGGUAAGGUGAUAUGAACCGUUAUAACCGGCGAUGUCCGAAUGGGGAAACCCAGUGCAAUUCGUUGCACUAUCGUUAACUGAAUACAUAGGUUAACGAGGCGAACCGGGGGAACUGAAACAUCUAAGUACCCCGAGGAAAAGAAAUCAACCGAGAUUCCCCCAGUAGCGGCGAGCGAACGGGGAGCAGCCCAGAGUCUGAAUCAGCUUGUGUGUUAGUGGAACGGUCUGGAAAGUCCGACGGUACAGGGUGAUAGUCCCGUACACCAAAAUGCACAGGUUGUGAACUCGAAGAGUAGGGCGGGACACGUGGUAUCCUGUCUGAAUAUGGGGGGACCAUCCUCCAAGGCUAAAUACUCCUGACUGACCGAUAGUGAACCAGUACCGUGAGGGAAAGGCGAAAAGAACCCCGGCGAGGGGAGUGAAAAAGAACCUGAAACCGUGUACGUACAAGCAGUGGGAGCACCUUCGGGUGUGACUGCGUACCUUUUGUAUAAUGGGUCAGCGACUUAUAUUCUGUAGCAAGGUUAACCGUAUAGGGGAGCCGCAGGGAAACCGAGUCUUAACUGGGCGUUAAGUUGCAGGGUAUAGACCCGAAACCCGGUGAUCUAGCCAUGGGCAGGUUGAAGGUUGGGUAACACUAACUGGAGGACCGAACCGACUAAUGUUGAAAAAUUAGCGGAUGACUUGUGGCUGGGGGUGAAAGGCCAAUCAAACCGGGAGAUAGCUGGUUCUCCCCGAAAGCUAUUUAGGUAGCGCCUCGUGAACUCAUCUUCGGGGGUAGAGCACUGUUUCGGCUAGGGGGUCAUCCCGACUUACCAACCCGAUGCAAACUACGAAUACCGAAGAAUGUUAUCACGGGAGACACACGGCGGGUGCUAACGUCCGUCGUGAAGAGGGAAACAACCCAGACCGCCAGCUAAGGUCCCAAAGUCAUGGUUAAGUGGGAAACGAUGUGGGAAGGCACAGACAGCCAGGAUGUUGGCUUAGAAGCAGCCAUCAUUUAAAGAAAGCGUAAUAGCUCACUGGUCGAGUCGGCCUGCGCGGAAGAUGUAACGGGGCUAAACCAUGCACCGAAGCUGCGGCAGCGACACUAUGUGUUGUUGGGUAGGGGAGCGUUCUGUAAGCCUGCGAAGGUGUGCUGUGAGGCAUGCUGGAGGUAUCAGAAGUGCGAAUGCUGACAUAAGUAACGAUAAAGCGGGUGAAAAGCCCGCUCGCCGGAAGACCAAGGGUUCCUGUCCAACGUUAAUCGGGGCAGGGUGAGUCGACCCCUAAGGCGAGGCCGAAAGGCGUAGUCGAUGGGAAACAGGUUAAUAUUCCUGUACUUGGUGUUACUGCGAAGGGGGGACGGAGAAGGCUAUGUUAGCCGGGCGACGGUUGUCCCGGUUUAAGCAUGUAGGCUGGUUGUCCAGGCAAAUCCGGAUAAUCAAGGCUGAGGUGUGAUGACGAGGCACUACGGUGCUGAAGUAACAAAUGCCCUGCUUCCAGGAAAAGCCUCUAAGCAUCAGGUAACAUUAAAUCGUACCCCAAACCGACACAGGUGGUCAGGUAGAGAAUACCAAGGCGCUUGAGAGAACUCGGGUGAAGGAACUAGGCAAAAUGGUGCCGUAACUUCGGGAGAAGGCACGCUGGUGUGUAGGUGAAGUCCCUGCGGAUGGAGCUGAGACCAGUCGAAGAUACCAGCUGGCUGCAACUGUUUAUUAAAAACACAGCACUGUGCAAACACGAAAGUGGACGUAUACGGUGUGACGCCUGCCCGGUGCCGGAAGGUUAAUUGAUGGGGUUAUCCGUAAGGAGAAGCUCUUGAUCGAAGCCCCGGUAAACGGCGGCCGUAACUAUAACGGUCCUAAGGUAGCGAAAUUCCUUGUCGGGUAAGUUCCGACCUGCACGAAUGGCGUAAUGAUGGCCAGGCUGUCUCCACCCGAGACUCAGUGAAAUUGAACUCGCUGUGAAGAUGCAGUGUACCCGCGGCAAGACGGAAAGACCCCGUGAACCUUUACUAUAGCUUGACACUGAACAUUGAGCCUUGAUGUGUAGGAUAGGUGGGAGGCUUUGAAGCGUGGACGCCAGUCUGCGUGGAGCCAACCUUGAAAUACCACCCUUUAAUGUUUGAUGUUCUAACGUUGGCCCCUUACCGGGGUUGCGGACAGUGUCUGGUGGGUAGUUUGACUGGGGCGGUCUCCUCCCAAAGCGUAACGGAGGAGCACGAAGGUUAGCUAAUCCUGGUCGGACAUCAGGAGGUUAGUGCAAUGGCAUAAGCUAGCUUGACUGCGAGCGUGACGGCGCGAGCAGGUGCGAAAGCAGGUCAUAGUGAUCCGGUGGUUCUGAAUGGAAGGGCCAUCGCUCAACGGAUAAAAGGUACUCCGGGGAUAACAGGCUGAUACCGCCCAAGAGUUCAUAUCGACGGCGGUGUUUGGCACCUCGAUGUCGGCUCAUCACAUCCUGGGGCUGAAGUAGGUCCCAAGGGUAUGGCUGUUCGCCAUUUAAAGUGGUACGCGAGCUGGGUUUAGAACGUCGUGAGACAGUUCGGUCCCUAUCUGCCGUGGGCGCUGGAGAAUUGAGGGGGGCUGCUCCUAGUACGAGAGGACCGGAGUGGACGCAUCACUGGUGUUCGGGUUGUCAUGCCAAUGGCACUGCCCGGUAGCUAAAUGCGGAAGAGAUAAGUGCUGAAAGCAUCUAAGCACGAAACUUGCCCCGAGAUGAGUUCUCCCUGAGACU
RNAcentral lists this ribosomal RNA (2792 nucleotides) under Klebsiella pneumoniae. RNAcentral describes it as "bacterial LSU rRNA". It matches the Rfam family "Bacterial large subunit ribosomal RNA". The record is from RNAcentral. Lineage: Bacteria; Pseudomonadati; Pseudomonadota; Gammaproteobacteria; Enterobacterales; Enterobacteriaceae.